This is a long non-coding RNA of Juglans microcarpa x Juglans regia, 401 nucleotides long. RefSeq lists it as uncharacterized. The record is from RefSeq and is a predicted model, not a curated record. The transcript has 3 exons. NCBI's taxonomy places the organism in Eukaryota, Viridiplantae, Streptophyta, Magnoliopsida, Fagales, Juglandaceae.
AUCUUCACUAAAAAAAAAACAAACAAACAACACCAAACAGAAUCGAAAAAAAAAUGGAAAUCGACGGUGGCACGUGCAUGACACGCGCCACACUGGAAAGGAGUUGUUUGGCCGAUCAAGAUGUUACCGGAGUUGCUGGGCCCUGAGCUGCCCCUCAUGGCGUCAACGAAAGAUGAAUCGCUGUGGUUUGAGAACCCCACGCGUUUCCUUUAAAUAGCGCGUCGGUGCAAUGCGUAGCUUCGAUUGGCUUCCAAUCCGGUCGACUACAAGAUCGGCGGGUGAGGCUUCUCCCGGUGGUACGCGUGUCUGACGAUGGUCACCGGAGAAGCUUGAAACGGCUACCCCCUUUAUUCGGCCAAAAACUUGGAAAAAAAAUAAAAUAAUAAUAAUCAAACCAAACC